RNAcentral lists this ribosomal RNA (303 nucleotides) under uncultured bacterium. RNAcentral's name for it is "bacterial SSU rRNA". It matches the Rfam family "Bacterial small subunit ribosomal RNA", at positions 28 to 329 of the family's 1533-position model. The record is from RNAcentral.
GACGAACGCUGGCGGCGUGCUUAACACAUGCAAGUCGAGCGGUAAGGCCCUUUCGGGGGUACACGAGCGGCGAACGGGUGGAGUAACACGUGGGUGACCUGCCCUCAGCUCUGGGAUAAGCCUGGGAAACUGGGUCUAAUACCGGAUAUGACCCCAUGUACGCAUGUCGUGGGGUGGAAAGCCUUGUGCGGCUGAGGAUGGGGCCCGCGGCCUAUCAGCUUGUUGGUGGGGUGAUGGCCUACCAAGGCGACGACGGGUAGCCGGCCUGAGAGGGCGACCGGCCACACUGGGACUGAGACACGG